CGGCAGCCGGUGCCUGCGCAUUGCCCUGUGCCCGCGCCUAUGUCCAGCAGGGGGCGCGCAGCGGCGGCAGCCGAGCGAGGGCGCGGCGGCUCUGACAGGAAUGGCUGUGCGCACAUGCGGUUCACAGCGGUGGAAGUCUUCACACCUGGAAAUUGGCCCUUUCUCCAUUUCUCCUUAUGCACUGUCUUUCCUUGGGCCCUCGUCACUCCCGGCACCGAGGGAAGCGCUUCCCCGCCUCUGGCCGGGCGCUGAGGCGCGACCGAAAGCGAGGCGGCGGCGAGGAACCUUCUGGAAUUCGGCCAUCGGGGCAGGCGUCGAGUUUACAGGAAAAGGCGCGGUGUCCGGGGAUGAGCGGAGUCGCCCUCAGUUGAGGAGCGAGGGAGGCUUCGGGGGUCGCCAGCCGGGUAGGAGUCACCUCAGGCAGGAGGUUAAUUAUAAAUUGUGCUUCAGUUACUUUCAGAAGAAUUUUAUACCGGGGAAGAAUAUAUUUUUUCAAGAUGACAAAGAAGGCUGGUGCACAUCCUUUCUUUACUCUCCCAAUCCAUGCCAAGAACCCUGGGAAUUUCCAUUUGCUGAUGGGGGAAGUCCUGGUGAGAAAGCCCCGAAGCCUGUUCGUGUUAAGAGCAUGGCCGCGGCUGGACGCGGUGGCUCACACCUGUAAUCCCAGCACUUUAGGAGGCUGAGGCAGGUGGAUUACCUGAGGCUGGGAGUUCCAGACCAGCCUUACAACAUGGAGAAACUCCAUCUCUACUAAAAAUACAAAAUUAGCUGGGCGUCGUGGCUCAUGCCUGUAAUCCUAGCUACUCAGGAGACUGAGGCAGGAGAAUUGCAUGAACCUGGGAGGCGGAGGUUGCAGUGCGCUGAGACUGGGCCAUUGCACUCCAGCCUGGACAACAAGAGCGAAACUCUGUCUCAAAAAAAAAAAAAAAAAAAAAAAAGAGCAUGGCCACUUUUGUUGUUUUGCUUGUUUUGCUGUCAGCCCAUAAACUAACAUUUCAGAAGAGGUUGAAGGAGUUACAUUUAGAAAUGCGGCAUUCAGUAAAAUGCUUACAUUCUAGAGUAAGUAAAACCGGUAGUUAUGAAUUUGAUUGUAACAAUAUUGAAUUGUUUGAAGGAAGGAUGGAAACAUUUUACUGGAACAAAGAGUGCAGGCACCAGUGGGUGGCCAAUUUAGCAGCUACAUUUGUCAUCAUGGAGGAAACAUGAUCUGUGCUUUAUGCAUGUUAAGAUUUUCUGGCCGGGCGCGGUGGCUCAAGCCUGUAAUCCCAGCACUUUGGGAGGCCGAGACGGGCGGAUCACGAGGUCAGGAGAUCGAGACCAUCCUGGCUAACACUGUGAAACCCCGUCUCUACUGAAAAUACAAAAACUAGCCGGGCGAGGUGGCGGGCACCUGUAGUCCCAGCUACUCGGGAGGCUGAGGCAGGAGAAUGUCAUAAACCCGGGAGGCGGAGCUUGCAGUGAGCUGAGAUCCGGCCACUGCACUCCAGUCCGGGCGACAGAGCGAGACUCCGCCUCAAAAAAAAAAAAAAAAAAAAAAGAUUUUCUUGGCCUCCCUUUUCCACCUGUAAGUACGACUCCUAUUCUGUCUUUAUUUUAUUUUAUUUUAUUUUAUUUUAUUUUAUUUUAAGACGGAGUUUCAUUCUUGUUGUCCAGGCUGGAGUGCGAUGGCACGAUCUUGGCUCACUGCAACCUCCGUCUCCCAGGUUCAAGCAGUUAUCCUGCCUCAGCCUCCUGAGUAGCUGGGAUUACAGGUGCCCACCACCACACCUGGCUAAUUUUUUGUGUUUUUAGUAGAGAUGUUGGCCAGACUGGUCUCAAACUCCUGACCUCAGAUGAUCCACCCACCUUGGCCUCCCAAAAUGCUGGGAUUACAGGCAUGAGCCACCACUCCUGGCCCUAUUGUAGCUUUUUAAACACAUGUCCUGUUCAACACACAUGCCACAUUGUGUGAUCUACGUCUAACAUGCCUCCAUUGUGGUCUCCACUGACCGUGUCCUUUGCAUUUCAUCCAUCUCAUUUAAUUUAAUGAAGAGGAAACAGAAGAUAAUCAUCCACACUCUAGCAACUCCCUGCGUGCCUAUGCAGCUCCUAAGAGUGGUGGUACAUGCCUGUAAUCCCAGCUACUCAGGAGGCUGAGGCAGGAGAAUCGCUUGAAACCAGGAGGCGGAGGUUGCAUUGAGCUGAGAUUGUGCCAUUGCACUCCAGCCUGGGCUACAAAAGCGAGACUCCAUCUCAAAAAAACAAACAAACAAACAAAAAAAAAGCUCGUAUCAAGUAAAAGAAAUAAGCAGAAGACUAGAAAUAAAAGACAAAUACCAAUGAGGUCA
Piliocolobus tephrosceles (Ugandan red Colobus) is the source of this 2327-nucleotide long non-coding RNA. The record is from Ensembl. Lineage: Eukaryota; Metazoa; Chordata; Mammalia; Primates; Cercopithecidae.